GACGAACGCUGGCGGCGUGCCUAAUACAUGCAAGUCGAACGCAGUGGGGACUGGUGAGUAACACGUGGGUAACCUCCCAUCAGAGGGGAUAACCAUUGGCAACAGGUGCUAAACCGAUACUGAUGGAUGUACCCGCGGCGCAUUAGCUAGUUGGUGAGGGAAACGCUGACCAAGGCCACGAUGCAUAUCCGGCCUGAGAGGGUGAUCAGCCACACUGGGACUGAGACACGGCCCAGACUCCUACGGGAGGCAGCAGUAGGGAAUCUUCGGCAAUGGACGAAAGUCUGACCGAGCAACGCCGCGGGAGUGAAGAAGGUUUUCGGAUCGUAAAGCUCUUUUGUUAGAGAAGCGGUAUCUAACCAGAAAGCAACGGCUAACUACGUGCCAGCAGCCGCGGUAAUUC
Molecule: ribosomal RNA, 403 nt
Filed under: uncultured bacterium
Lineage: Bacteria
Description: partial 16S ribosomal RNA
Rfam family: Bacterial small subunit ribosomal RNA
Source: RNAcentral